UCAGCAAGAAUUUGACAACGAUAUUCUGGUCCUCUCUUACGAAACCAUGGUUCGCUAAAACAUGUAAUCAGAAACACCAGUGAGGAGUGAACGUAAAAGGUUAAUGCAAAACACCAUGCCAAGAGGAAAGAUCUCAGAGGACAUCAGUCUUGCGAAGGCUGAUGUCAACCAGACAACCAUCUCAACCAGAUUUGAGCUCUAUCAGUCCACUGUAAGGCAAAUCAUUUACAAAUAUAAAGAAUUUAACGUGACGCUUGGUAUAUAAGUGGAUGGCCGCCCUUCCAAAGUAUCCCCAUGAGCCACAAGAAAAAUAAAUAAAGGAAAUGCCAACCCAAACCGCAUCCCAGGUUACUGUGUAUGAUGCAACAACAAUAAGAACACUGAAUUUGAAAUGGCAUUCAUGCAAAGGUUGCUAGGAAGAAGCCUCUGCUUUAAUAAAAAUCUUAACUUUGCCAGAGCCCACUAAGACAAACCUGAAGAUAACCUUGCCAACAGUCAAGCACGGUGGUGGGAAUGUUAAGAUCUGGGGCUGCUUUUCACCAUCUGGACCUGGUCAACUGCACAUCAUCAAGGGAAUCAUGAAUUCUGAGUUAUACCAGGAGAUUCUUGCCCAUGCACACUGCAAAAUCUCCCUGCCACUGUCUCAACGCAAAGUCUAUUUUCAAUAAUAAUAAACAAAUAAUAAUUUUGCAUGUUUUAACCAUGAAACUUUUAAUCUGCAUCACUGUUAAGCUUUUUGGUUAUGAUUAAACAAUAAUUCAUAA
Molecule: long non-coding RNA, 764 nt
Organism: Esox lucius (northern pike)
Lineage: Eukaryota; Metazoa; Chordata; Actinopteri; Esociformes; Esocidae
Exons: 2
Source: RefSeq, a predicted model, not a curated record